GACGAACCGUCCAAACGUUGUUCGGAAUCACUGGGCUUAAAGGGCGCGUAGGCGGGUGAGCAAGUCUGUGGUGAAAUCCUCCGGCUUAACCGGAGAACUGCCGUGGAUACUGCCCAUCUCGAGGAGGAUAGGGGCAUCUGGAACUAGCGGUGGAGCGGUGAAAUGCGUUGAUAUCGCUAGGAACUCCGGUGGCUAAGGCGAGAUGCUGGAUCAUUUCUGACGCUGAGGCGCGAAAGCCAGGGGAGCGAACGGG
Molecule: ribosomal RNA, 253 nt
Filed under: uncultured bacterium
Lineage: Bacteria
Description: partial 16S ribosomal RNA
Rfam family: Bacterial small subunit ribosomal RNA
Source: RNAcentral